GAUGAACGCUGUCUACAGGCUUAACACAUGCAAGUCGAGGGGAAACGACGGGGAAGCUUGCUUCCCCGGGCGUCGACCGGCGCACGGGUGAGUAACGCGUAUCCAACCUGCCUCUGACUGAGGGAUAACCCGUCGAAAGUCGGCCUAAUACCUCAUGGCAUCGUCUGCGGGCAUCCAACGACGAUUAAAGAUUUCAUCGGUCAGGGAUGGGGAUGCGUCUGAUUAGCUUGUUGGCGGGGUAACGGCCCACCAAGGCUACGAUCAGUAGGGGUUCUGAGAGGAAGGUCCCCCACAUUGGAACUGAGACACGGUCCAAACUCCUACGGGAGGCAGCAGUGAGGAAUAUUGGUCAAUGGGCGGGAGCCUGAACCAGCCAAGUAGCGUGCAGGAUGACAGCCCUAUGGGUUGUAAACUGCUUUUAUGCGGGGAUAAAGUGAGGGACGUGUCCUUCAUUGCAGGUACCGCAUGAAUAAGGACCGGCUAAUUCCGU
RNAcentral lists this ribosomal RNA (490 nucleotides) under uncultured bacterium. Its description in RNAcentral is "partial 16S ribosomal RNA". It matches the Rfam family "Bacterial small subunit ribosomal RNA", at positions 28 to 506 of the family's 1533-position model. The record is from RNAcentral.